GAUGAACGCUGGCGGCGUGCCUAAUACAUGCAAGUCGAGCGAACAGACGAGGAGCUUGCUCCUCUGACGUUAGCGGCGGACGGGUGAGUAACACGUGGAUAACCUACCUAUAAGACUGGGAUAACUUCGGGAAACCGGAGCUAAUACCGGAUAAUAUAUUGAACCGCAUGGUUCAAUAGUGAAAGACGGUUUUGCUGUCACUUAUAGAUGGAUCCGCGCCGCAUUAGCUAGUUGGUAAGGUAACGGCUUACCAAGGCAACGAUGCGUAGCCGACCUGAGAGUGUGAUCGGCCACACUGGAACUGAGACACGGUCCAGACUCCUACGGGAGGCAGCAGUAGGGAAUCUUCCGCAAUGGGCGAAAGCCUGACGGAGCAACGCCGCGCGAGUGAUGAAGGUCUUCGGAUCGUAAAACUCUGUUAUUAGGGAAGAACAAAUGUGUAAGUAACUAUGCACGUCUUGACGGUACCUAAUCAGAAAGCCACGGCUAACUACGUG
This 497-nucleotide ribosomal RNA is filed under the name uncultured bacterium. RNAcentral describes it as "partial 16S ribosomal RNA". It matches the Rfam family "Bacterial small subunit ribosomal RNA", at positions 28 to 507 of the family's 1533-position model. The record is from RNAcentral.